Molecule: ribosomal RNA, 447 nt
Filed under: uncultured bacterium
Lineage: Bacteria
Description: partial 16S ribosomal RNA
Rfam family: Bacterial small subunit ribosomal RNA
Source: RNAcentral
AGCGAACGCUGGCGGCAGGCUUAACACAUGCAAGUCGAACGCCCCGCAAGGGGGGUGGCAGACGGGUGAGUAACACGUGGGAACGUACACUUUGGUUCGGAAUAACUUGGGGAAACUCAAGCUAAUACCGGAUAAGCCCUUAUGGGGAAAGGUUUACUGCCGAAGGAUCGGCCCGCGUCUGAUUAGCUAGUUGGUGAGGUAAUGGCUCACCAAGGCGACGAUCAGUAGCUGGUCUGAGAGGAUGAUCAGCCACACUGGGACUGAGACACGGCCCAGCCUCCUACGGGAGGCAGCAGUGGGGAAUAUUGGACAAUGGGGGCAACCCUGAUCCAGCCAUGCCGCGUGAGUGAUGAAGGCCUUAGGGUUGUAAAGCUCUUUUACCCGGGACGAUAAUGACUGUACCGGGAGAGUAAGCCCCGGCUAACUUCGUGCCAGCAGCCGCAGUAA